Molecule: ribosomal RNA, 253 nt
Filed under: uncultured bacterium
Lineage: Bacteria
Description: partial 16S ribosomal RNA
Rfam family: Bacterial small subunit ribosomal RNA
Source: RNAcentral
UACGUAGGGUGCGAGCGUUGUCCGGAAUUAUUGGGCGUAAAGGGCUCGUAGGCGGUUUGUCGCGUCGGGAGUGAAAACCCAGGGCUUAACUCUGGGCUUGCUUUCGAUACGGGCAGACUAGAGGUAUGCAGGGGAGAACGGAAUUCCUGGUGUAGCGGUGAAAUGCGCAGAUAUCAGGAGGAACACCGGUGGCGAAGGCGGUUCCCUGGGCAUUACCUGACGCUGAGGAGCGAAAGUGUGGGGAGCGAACAGG